RNAcentral lists this ribosomal RNA (626 nucleotides) under uncultured bacterium. Its description in RNAcentral is "bacterial SSU rRNA". It matches the Rfam family "Bacterial small subunit ribosomal RNA", at positions 28 to 652 of the family's 1533-position model. The record is from RNAcentral.
GAUGAACGCUGGCGGCGUGCUUAACACAUGCAAGUCGAACGAAACACCUUAUUUGAUUUUCUUCGGAACUGAAGAUUUGGUGAUUGAGUGGCGGACGGGUGAGUAACGCGUGGGUAACCUGCCCUGUACAGGGGGAUAACAGUCAGAAAUGACUGCUAAUACCGCAUAAGACCACAGCACCACAUGGUGCAGGGGUAAAAACUCCGGUGGUACAGGAUGGACCCGCGUCUGAUUAGCUGGUUGGUGAGGUAACGGCUCACCAAGGCGACGAUCAGUAGCCGGCUUGAGAGAGUGAACGGCCACAUUGGGACUGAGACACGGCCCAAACUCCUACGGGAGGCAGCAGUGGGGAAUAUUGCACAAUGGGGGAAACCCUGAUGCAGCGACGCCGCGUGAGUGAAGAAGUAUCUCGGUAUGUAAAGCUCUAUCAGCAGGGAAGAAAAUGACGGUACCUGACUAAGAAGCCCCGGCUAACUACGUGCCAGCAGCCGCGGUAAUACGUAGGGGGCAAGCGUUAUCCGGAAUUACUGGGUGUAAAGGGUGCGUAGGUGGUAUGGCAAGUCAGAAGUGUAAACCCAGGGCUUAACUCUGGGACUGCUUUUGAAACUGUCAGACUGGAGUGCAGG